Molecule: long non-coding RNA, 1289 nt
Organism: Astatotilapia calliptera (eastern happy)
Lineage: Eukaryota; Metazoa; Chordata; Actinopteri; Cichliformes; Cichlidae
Source: Ensembl
UUCUCAGUUUUCAUGCCUGUGGAGUUUAUUAUAUGGACGUGGUGACAGUGUAAAAACACCAUGCUCUUCUGAUUUUCAAACCAACCUUCUGAGCCGUUUUAACAUUAGAGUCUAUGGAAGAGUUGGAGGGAGGAGGCUGUGCAUUGGUGACAUUUAUGAAAGAACCAUAACACCUAGUACAAUAGUAAACACAUUGGAUGAAAGAGGACAGCCAUGGCUACGUUUUGAGGGUAAAAUCAUACCUGUAGAGCAAACGCUGCGGACACAGCAGCAGUUUUAAAAAAUAUUUUAAGAUUAAUUUUUUUGCUCCUCUCACUCUAGCAGUUGAGCUGCCUCACUCUAGCCCCAACAUUCCGUCCCAUACACACCCAUUAUAAACUCUGAAACGGGUGAAAAAACAUCAUGAAACUUAAACUGGAACUGAAGAAAAAGUAUAAUAGAUAUUGAAAAGAUAAAUACAAGUUGAAUAGUUGAAUGUCUUGUCUUCGUUUUAAAGUUUGAAUGGUGGCUCUAUGUCAAUGUAUGUGGAAGUAGUAAGAGUUUAAAAAUGAGUAAGUUGAAUGAGGAUUUGAAGGGUCUCCCCAUUGAAAUACAUUAUAAAUUUUUGUUGAAAAAAGUUGAAUAAAAUUAAAAAUAUAAAUGUUAAAAAUGAGAAAAAUAGAAGCAAUGUUGUCCAAAAGAAUAGGAAUCUAACGGUGUUUGAAUGGUUUUUCUAAGUUGAACGGUUUUGAAGGAGUAGGCUUUCAAAAAACGUACGGAAUAGAUAAUAAUAAAAUAGAACUAGAAAGUGCAUUUUCUGAAGAAACUGCAGUGUGAAUGCUUGAAUCUGAAUGUAUGCACUGAAAUGAAUUAAUUACUGAAUUUAAGUUAAAAAUUUUGAAUGAGAUAAAAAAGAAAAACAAAUUUAACCUGAAAACAAAAGUGCUGAACUGCUAAAAGCUGAAGGUUACACAGAAGAAGAAGUUGGAAAAAAGCUGAAAAUGUUUUAAUUGUAAAUUAGAAAACCCUAAGAAAUGAGAAAAGAAAAUUUAGAGUCAGAAAACAUCGAAUGAAUAUUAAAAGUUCAUAUUCUUUGAAUCACUGAAUGACUAAAAUGUGAUCCCUCCACUUGGAUCCACACAGUUUAAAAAGUUUACAUCUCUGAGCUUUGAAAGACAAGAUGUUGGAAAGAGAACAACGUUUUGAGGGUAAAAUGAUGGCUGUAACACUGUGGACACAGCAGCAGUUGAAAGAGAAGUGUUUAAGAUGAAUCUUGGCAGAGUGGCAGAGAGAGCUCGUUAAGCAGGCAG